UAGACUGAUAUAAAAGUUUGAAACUUUUUUUUUCGUGUUUUUACGACAGUUUAG
Molecule: transfer RNA, 54 nt
Filed under: Trichuris discolor
Lineage: Eukaryota; Metazoa; Nematoda; Enoplea; Trichinellida; Trichuridae
Description: tRNA-Ser
Source: RNAcentral